Molecule: ribosomal RNA, 252 nt
Filed under: uncultured Bacteroidales bacterium
Lineage: Bacteria; Pseudomonadati; Bacteroidota; Bacteroidia; Bacteroidales
Description: partial 16S ribosomal RNA
Rfam family: Bacterial small subunit ribosomal RNA
Source: RNAcentral
UACGGAGGAUGCGAGCGUUAUCCGGAUUUAUUGUGUCUAAAGGGUGCGCAGGCGGAUUUUUAAGUCAGCGGUCAAAUCGUGGGGCUCAACCCCAUCCAGCCGUUGAAACUGGGGAUCUAGAGUGUGCGAGAGGUAUGCGGAAUGCGUGGUGUAGCGGUGAAAUGCAUAGAUAUCACGCAGAACUCCGAUUGCGAAGGCAGCGUACCGGCGCCCAACUGACGCUGAAGCACGAAGGCGUGGGUAUCGAACAGG